Molecule: long non-coding RNA, 412 nt
Organism: Homo sapiens (human)
Lineage: Eukaryota; Metazoa; Chordata; Mammalia; Primates; Hominidae
Source: Ensembl
UGCAGACCCCGAAGAAGGACUGGCUCCUCGGUGCUGAUGGCUGUCCUUCUAAACCAGGGGGGAGUCCAAAAGCUUCAGUGCAGGAGGAAGGCAGUGAGUGUUAGCCCUGACCUGCGCUGAGCCCUGAGAAGAAAGCUUCCUUCGCCCGCGUCCUCCCGCUGGCUGAGUCAGCCAGGACCCUGCUGUGCGAGGUCCAUAUGGGGCAGGUGCAGCUGCCAACACGGCCAAACUGAAGGUUCGCUCGCACCAGGACCAGUCGUGGGUGAACUCUUUGCACGCUCUUGACGUCAGGUCUUUGUGGACUCAGUGGGAACUGAGAACAAUUCCAUCCGUACGACGUCCAGAUGAACCUUGCUGGUCGGAGAGGAAACUUCUGACCACCCCGAGCUGAGCUUUGUGUUCCUCAGGCCCC